RNAcentral lists this ribosomal RNA (477 nucleotides) under uncultured bacterium. RNAcentral describes it as "bacterial SSU rRNA". It matches the Rfam family "Bacterial small subunit ribosomal RNA", at positions 365 to 832 of the family's 1533-position model. The record is from RNAcentral.
UUCGCAAUGCCCGAAAGGGUGACGAAGCGACGCCGCGUGUGGGAAGAAGGCCUUCGGGUUGUAAACCACUGUCGGGAGUUAGGAAGUGCAGGAGCGUUAAUAGCGUUCUUGCUUGACUAAGGCUCCAGAGGAAGCCACGGCUAACUCUGUGCCAGCAGCCGCGGUAAUACAGAGGCGGCAAGCGUUGUUCGGAAUUAUUGGGCGUAAAGAGCACGUAGGUGGUUUUGUAAGUCAGAUGUGAAAGCCUUCUGUUCAAAGGAAGAACGGCAUCUGAAACUGCUGAUCUUGAGUGUAGGAGGGGAGAGUGGAACUUCUGGUGGAGCGGUGAAAUGCGUAGAUAUCAGAAGGAACGUCGGCGGCGAAAGCGACUCUCUGGCCUAUUACUGACACUGAGUGUGCGAAAGUUAGGGGAGCAAACGGGAUUAGAUACCCCGGUAGUCCUAACCGUAAACGAUGGGCACUAAGUAGAGGGGUUUU